UUAAAGGAUUAAGUAAUGUCUUGAGGAGAUUAUCCCUGAAUGAUGUCUGAAUAUAGGGUUAUAGGCUCUUGAUAAUCCUCUGAGCGAAUGUGGCAUGGUCUUCAGAAUUUCCUUUUAAGAUGCUAUUUGCUCAUGACUGUUUUCUGCUUUCCAGAAAAGUUUCAAUGGAUAUGGAAGCAUAUUGAACCAAAAAUGCCACCUGCCUUUUAAUCCUGCUGUGAUGAUCAGUGUGUCUCUCAUAGCCAGAAAGCAAAGUAUUUUUUUUUUCUCAAGUGAUUUAAGAGACUAGGAUGCUGACAUCAAGCUUUUACUCUGACAUAUUAUAAUAUAUAUGUAUAUUUAGAAGACAGUCUUUAAUAUAUGAAUCUGGAUCAUAACCUUACCCAGUCAUCUCAAAGUUUAGUUUUAAAAAACUCCCAUUUUGUAAAAUCUAUCAUGUCUUCAUCUCUGUACUUGUAUAUGAAUAUAUCGAAACAGAUCAUAGUUUAGUGGCUUGGGUUUUUUAUUUCAUAAAUCAAAUCUAGGUUCGGUGUUCUGUUAGUGUUUUUGAUUUGUGUUGUAUAUCCUGCUUCUAGCUCCAGGGUGGAAGGCAGACAUUUUGAAAGUGCGUGCUUGCUACUGGAACAUCUGGGUAUUGGGGAGCUGUGACCACACUGGCUUCGAUUUGAUAGGGUUUGAAUAAAAUAGUAUCAGUUUUGGGACUGGAUGUGAUGUACUGCUGGAUCACUUUCUGGGGUCUUUUUCCUUCUGACCAUGAGAGAGAUUUACAGAACUUGGUUUCUGUGUCUUUCACUUAACAUCCUCUUUUGUAAACUGUCGUGAUGUGUUUGUCUUUAUGCAAGAACUUCCAUUCCUCAUCACUUCUUGCUUUGGCUGCUGAAGAUAGUUCUAGUUAUGUCACUGUCAACACUUAAAAGGCCCAUUUCUCUGAAAUCUGGUCCCUUUUCAGUCUUGAAACAUGGUAUCUUUUAGAUGCCAGUGUACAAGUCCAGCAGCAACAUUUCUUUAGUGCCCCUUAGUUCACCCUAAUGCAUGGGCAGUGUGCAGAGGCAGCAUUGGAGUGCAAUGCUCCAGCUGUGGUAAGUGUCAGAAUAUGUAUGACGUGCUUAAAGAAUGCAUGAAUCCAACUCUAAGCAUGUGCCCUAUCCCCUGGACCUCUCCCUCUGCUGAAUCUAACUUAUAAAUAACUUUACAGCUGUUCCCUCUUUACAAAACAAAGUGUUCUUCAUCUUCAGAAGGUGGCCCCUCACUAAAGAAAUAACUGUCGGAAGGGCUGUUUUUGUUUUAGUAGCUGAUGUGUGUAGCAUGUCCCUUCUUUCUUAAAUUGUUUCAUCAUACAAGUCUAUCUGUUAAUUACUGUCUAGGUGGUGGGUUUUUUUUUUUUCCCCACGCUGGCAUUCAAAUAAAUAACCUUGAAAAGGUCAGGCUGCUGCUGAUUUUUCCUAGUUAUAGUGGUAGGAAGAAUACCUCAUGCUUCCUUUAUUUCAUAGUUACACAGUGCUUAUGAGACAUUACUUUAUAUCUUGGGGGGUGUGGGAACAUUUUUUAAACAAAUAACUUCCUUCAGUUCUGCUGUAAGUAGUUUACAGAUGCUUUUUCUAUAGUAUGCAAAAAUGGCCUAUUAACACAUUUUGGUUUAAAAGCCCUUGUUCUUUUUUAGUUCAUAAUAAAUAUAGAUGAUCUUUGGAGAAUUUUCCUCUUUCCCCUUUUUUAAUCUCCACUCGGAGGAAAGGAUUUAUAUAGACACCUAUAUUUAUAGAAGCCUUCAACGAGUUUAAGUUAGAAGAGUUGUUUAAGGAUUUCCUGCCCUUCCCUUUCCAUAGUUAGCCUUUUCUAGUGUUGCAUGUGCACUGCUUCCAUGAUGAGUUAGUGUAUACACUGUACUAUUGUCCCUGUUGCCUUUUCUUUCUCCUUUCUGCCUUAAAUAGAAAUAGAUAAUCAACACUGCAACUGUAUCCGGCCAUGGGAAUGAUCUUAUUUACAUUUGUCUUGGUUAAAGAUUAUAAUCUUGUAAUGGAUUGAACUACAGUAUUGCUGGACAGUCUUUUUUAGGUAUUUUUGUAUACUUCUAAGAAGCAUCUUCUUGAAGGUUGUUUUGAUCAUUUGAAACCAAAUUCUCUCUCUGUGAUGGGGGUGGAGGAAUGUUUAUGACUGACCUUGCAGGAACUUUCUCCUUCCCUUUUUCAGUCCCUCUACCCAAAUACUGCAAAAAGACUUUGUUUUUUAUGAUAUAUUCUUUCUAUUGUAAAUAUAUUGCCUGUAGAUAAUUUUGUAAUUAAAGUGAAUCAGUUAAUGAAUUUAAAUAGAAAUAAAUACAGGAGAAAUGGGUAGAGUUUUUUGGAAAAACUUGUUUUGAUUGGCAUUUAUUCUGUAAUUUUAGGUAUAUAAAGGUAUUUGAGUCUUGCAUCUUAAGAUGACUAAGAUGUGUAUUAUCUUAGUAAAGAUGCACAAUCUUCAUAGCUUUUCUGCUUUGCUUUUACAUUUUUUUCCCUGACUUCUUAGAAGAUGGUCACUCAUUUCUCUGCUCUGUUUUCUGUUUGGAAGAGGAAAAGAUUUUCCUGGAACAGCUAAAACUUUAAAAAUGGAGGUGGCAACUGCACACCAGGACUGUGGUCUUCAAUUUUUAGCAUAAACUGAGUCUAGCCAUGUCUAUCUGCAAUAAGUAUCUACACUAAUAUACAAAAUAUGCUAGUGAUAAUAGUGCAGGACUAAUGUUUUGAUAAAUAUUGUUGACAAAUAUUUGAGCUUCAGUUUUGAAACAUUUCUUUUUACAUCUGAAAAUAACAUCCAACAGUUCAAAGGUUUAUAGCCAUUGAAUACUUUUUUCAAAUAGUGCUCCUAUAUAGUACUCGGCAUGAUGAUGUAGUACAGAUAGAUAGGUUUUUCUUUUGUGUGUCCUAUUACAUGGAAUCAGAUGCUUAAAUUUUGUUAGAACUGCACAAAUUUUUGUCUCUAUUUUUAUGACUGGAAAUUCAGUGACUAAAAUACUUGUAAGCAUAUGAAAUAGUGAAUGGUCAUGUGUUUGCUGUUCCACAUUAUAAACAAAGUUAAUGAGAGGAGCUGGUGAUGACAGUCUUAACUCCAUGCUUCAUGCCCCUUUUUCCAUUUUGUCAUUGUGUGGGUGUUACCUUGACUUAAUACGCUGCACGUAGCACUGUGUAAUUUGUAAAACCAGUUUGUGUACUUAUAGUGCUGUGCUCUGUGAUUUCUUUACUGUAAAUAAAUUUGCAAAUAUUA
Long non-coding RNA from Falco peregrinus (peregrine falcon), 3237 nucleotides. RefSeq lists it as uncharacterized. NCBI's taxonomy places the organism in Eukaryota, Metazoa, Chordata, Aves, Falconiformes, Falconidae. The record is from RefSeq and is a predicted model, not a curated record. The transcript is spliced from 2 exons.